This is a non-coding RNA of Malassezia sympodialis ATCC 42132, 83 nucleotides long. NCBI's taxonomy places the organism in Eukaryota, Fungi, Basidiomycota, Malasseziomycetes, Malasseziales, Malasseziaceae. The record is from Rfam.
CAGAGCGUGGUCUAGUGGUUAGGACUCCUCAUUUACACGUAAGUGAUCUGAGGCGAUCCCCGGUUCGAUCCCGGGCGUUCUGA